RNAcentral lists this ribosomal RNA (440 nucleotides) under uncultured bacterium. RNAcentral describes it as "partial 16S ribosomal RNA". It matches the Rfam family "Bacterial small subunit ribosomal RNA", at positions 338 to 795 of the family's 1533-position model. The record is from RNAcentral.
CCUCGGGGGCUGCAGUGAGGAAUAUUGGACAAUGGGCGAAAGCCUGAUCCAGCGACGCCGCGUGGGUGAAGAAGGCCUUCGGGUUGUAAAGCCCUGUCAGAGGGGACGAAGUUCUGACGGUACCCUCAGAGGAAGCACAGGCUAACUCCGUGCCAGCAGCCGCGGUAAUACGGAGUGUGCGAGCGUUGCUCGGAAUCACUGGGCGUAAAGGGCACGUAGGCGGCCUCGUGUGUUGGGUGUGAAAGCCCACGGCUCAACCGUGGAACUGCACUCAAAACUGCGAGGCUAGGGUACGGAAGAGGAAGGCGGAAUUCCCAGUGUAGGGGUGAAAUCCGUAGAUAUUGGGAAGAACACCAGUGGCGAAGGCGGCCUUCUGGGACGAUACUGACGCUGAUGUGCGAAAGCGUGGGGAGCAAACAGGAUUAGAUACCCCCGUAGUC